RNAcentral lists this ribosomal RNA (253 nucleotides) under uncultured bacterium. Its description in RNAcentral is "partial 16S ribosomal RNA". It matches the Rfam family "Bacterial small subunit ribosomal RNA", at positions 524 to 776 of the family's 1533-position model. The record is from RNAcentral.
UACGUAGGGGGCAAGCGUUGUCCGGAAUUAUUGGGCGUAAAGAGCGCGUAGGCGGUCCGAUAAGUCGGCUGUGAAAGUCAGGGGCUCAACCCUUGGAAGCCGGCCGAUACUGUCGGACUAGAGUCCGGAAGAGGCGAGUGGAAUUCCCGGUGUAGCGGUGAAAUGCGCAGAUAUCGUAAGGAAGACCAGUGGCGAAGGCGGGUCUCUGGACAGUUCCUGACGCUGAGGCACGAAGGUCAGGGGAGCAAACGGG